AAAUAGGGCUAAUGUCACUCGACUAUAGAUGAUUUUGGAAGGUUUGCACUAGGGCUAAUGUCACUCGACUAUAGCUGACUUUGGAAGGUUUGCAAAUAGGGCUAAUGUCACACGACUACAGCUGACUUUGGAAGGUUUGCAAAUAGGGCUAAUGUCACACGACUACAGCUGACUUUGGAAGGUUUGCACUAGGGCUAAUGUCACUCGACUAUAGCUGACUUUGGAAGGUUUGCACUAGGGCUAAUGUCACACGACUACAGCUGACUUUGGAAGGUUUGCAAAUAGGGCUAAUGUCACUCGACUAUAGCUGAUUUUGGAAGGUUUGCAAAUAGGGCUAAUGUCACACGACUACAGCUGAUUUUGGAAGGUUUGCACUAGGGCUAAUGUCACACGACUACAGCUGACUUUGGAAGGUUUGCACUAGGGCUAAUGUCACAC
Long non-coding RNA from Biomphalaria glabrata, 438 nucleotides. RefSeq lists it as uncharacterized. The transcript has 3 exons. The record is from RefSeq and is a predicted model, not a curated record. NCBI's taxonomy places the organism in Eukaryota, Metazoa, Mollusca, Gastropoda, Planorbidae.